Molecule: ribosomal RNA, 469 nt
Filed under: uncultured bacterium
Lineage: Bacteria
Description: bacterial SSU rRNA
Rfam family: Bacterial small subunit ribosomal RNA
Source: RNAcentral
UGGGGAAUUUUGGACAAUGGGGGCAACCCUGAUCCAGCAAUGCCGCGUGAGUGAAGAAGGCCUUCGGGUUGUAAAGCUCUUUUGUCAGGGAAGAAACGGUAGUAGCGAAUAACUAUUACUAAUGACGGUACCUGAAGAAUAAGCACCGGCUAACUACGUGCCAGCAGCCGCGGUAAUACGUAGGGUGCAAGCGUUAAUCGGAAUUACUGGGCGUAAAGCGUGCGCAGGCGGUUGUGUAAGUCAGAUGUGAAAUCCCCGGGCUCAACCUGGGAAUUGCAUUUGAGACUGCACGGCUAGAGUGUGUCAGAGGGGGGUAGAAUUCCACGUGUAGCAGUGAAAUGCGUAGAUAUGUGGAGGAAUACCGAUGGCGAAGGCAGCCCCCUGGGAUAACACUGACGCUCAUGCACGAAAGCGUGGGGAGCAAACAGGAUUAGAUACCCCGGUAGUCCCUGAGCGGGCUGGCAAGGCG